Molecule: ribosomal RNA, 667 nt
Filed under: uncultured Lachnospiraceae bacterium
Lineage: Bacteria; Bacillati; Bacillota; Clostridia; Lachnospirales; Lachnospiraceae
Description: bacterial SSU rRNA
Rfam family: Bacterial small subunit ribosomal RNA
Source: RNAcentral
AACACAUGCAAGUCGAACGAAGCAAUUAAGAUGAAGUUUUCGGAUGGAAUCUUGAUUGACUGAGUGGCGGACGGGUGAGUAACGCGUGGAUAACCUGCCUCACACUGGGGGAUAACAGUUAGAAAUGACUGCUAAUACCGCAUAAGCGCACAGUGCCGCAUGGCAGUGUGUGAAAAACUCCGGUGGUGUGAGAUGGAUCCGCGUCUGAUUAGCCAGUUGGCGGGGUAACGGCCCACCAAAGCGACGAUCAGUAGCCGACCUGAGAGGGUGACCGGCCACAUUGGGACUGAGACACGGCCCAAACUCCUACGGGAGGCAGCAGUGGGGAAUAUUGCACAAUGGGCGAAAGCCUGAUGCAGCGACGCCGCGUGAGUGAAGAAGUAUUUCGGUAUGUAAAGCUCUAUCAGCAGGGAAGAAAAUGACGGUACCUGACUAAGAAGCCCCGGCUAACUACGUGCCAGCAGCCGCGGUAAUACGUAGGGGGCAAGCGUUAUCCGGAUUUACUGGGUGUAAAGGGAGCGUAGACGGCGAAGCAAGUCUGAAGUGAAAACCCAGGGCUCAACCCUGGGACUGCUUUGGAAACUGUUUUGCUAGAGUGUCGGAGAGGUAAGUGGAAUUCCUAGUGUAGCGGUGAAAUGCGUAGAUAUUAGGAGGACACCAGUGGCGA